GAUGAACGCUAGCGGGAGGCUUAAUACAUGCAAGUCGAGCGGCAAGGUCUUCGGACCCUAGAGCGGCGCACGGGUGAGUAACGCGUACGCAAUCUGCCCUUCAGUGAGGAAUAGCCCUGGGAAACUGGGAUUAAUACCUCAUAAUAUUAUUUGUCUGCAUGGAUGAAUAAUUAAAGUUCUGGCGCUGAAGGAUGAGCGUGCGUCUGAUUAGCUAGUUGGUAGGGUAACGGCCUACCAAGGCUACGAUCAGUAGGGGGCGUGAGAGCGUGACCCCCCACACGGGUACUGAGACACUGACCCGACUCCUACGGGAGGCAGCAGUAAGGAAUAUUGGGCAAUGGAGGCAACUCUGACCCAGCCAUCCCGCGUGAAGGAUUAAGGCCCUAUGGGUUGCAAACUUCUUUGUUUGGGAAGAAAUCUGGACAUUUAUGUGCAGUUGACGGUACCUUACGAAUAAGCACCGGCUAACUCCGUGCCAGCAGCCGCGGUAAU
RNAcentral lists this ribosomal RNA (492 nucleotides) under uncultured bacterium. RNAcentral's name for it is "bacterial SSU rRNA". It matches the Rfam family "Bacterial small subunit ribosomal RNA", at positions 28 to 524 of the family's 1533-position model. The record is from RNAcentral.